RNAcentral lists this ribosomal RNA (540 nucleotides) under Triticum aestivum (bread wheat). RNAcentral's name for it is "partial small subunit ribosomal RNA". The record is from RNAcentral. Lineage: Eukaryota; Viridiplantae; Streptophyta; Magnoliopsida; Poales; Poaceae.
ACUAACUGGACAGGAGCAGUCUUUGGUACCGGUUUUCGCUAUUUCUACAGGCUGCCUAAUUUCAUGAAGAGUUUUGCUUGCGACAAUAUAUGUUCAUGGUAUAAAAAUUGUGAGAUUGUUAAAAUUAAAAACCAAUGUUUGAGUGCAUUCUUCCCAUGGCAACAUGUUCCACUCUCAGACCAGUUCACAAGUACGGUAUUAGCUUUCUACUCCAUUUGUAACCGGUUCUGGCAACUGAAUUUUGAGACUGGGCCCUCCGGAUUCUCCAGGCAAAGAGAGCAUUACUUUGUUGCCCCCGUGAUAAUGGUAGCUAAAGAUGUUGGCCUGGAGUACUUGUGGAACUACUCUGGAGACUGUGGGACACAGGGGCAGGCAGAAUCAAAGGUAUCCCAGAAUUACAUUCACAUGAUCACUGAGGAGGCUCACAUGGUGUUUUAUCACCCGCAGAUUUGUCGCAGACAUCUGAGUUUACGCUCCUGGGUGACUCUUAACUGGCUAUCUCAUUACUCAGUUUUUUCUACAAUGAUGAUGAUGCCCUUU